UAUUAAUUUGCGUUGCUGUUUUAAAUUUUAUGGACCACGUCAUUUUACAUUAAACCUGAUUUUCUGUUGUUUUACAUUUUGUGACAAACCCAUUUUUUGUCCUUAGUUCGACUUUUGUGACAAGUUCGACUUUUGUGAGAAACUGAAUUUUGUGACAAACUGAAUUUUCUGUUGUGUCACGGCUGAGAAGAAUCCUUUCUUAUCCCAAACGCUCUCCACCGCAGUCACUGAUCUGAAACAAGCUGGAUAACGCAUUUAUAGUAAGCAAAAGUGGUAGUUUUUCGCGUUUUUUGCCUUGGCUACGUUUCUG
Molecule: non-coding RNA, 310 nt
Organism: Paramuricea clavata
Lineage: Eukaryota; Metazoa; Cnidaria; Anthozoa; Malacalcyonacea; Plexauridae
Source: the annotation of a GenBank genome assembly